AAAAAUGAAGGCCUUUUAUAAUUCAAUAAUCUGAACUGCCCUCUAUCUGUCAAACCUCCUCAGCAAAAAAUGUGCUUCUGUGAUCUCAUCACUCCUUUGACGUCAUCUUCCCCGCUCUUUACUUCCCUCACUUGAUUUUUUUCUCUACUGUUCUACUUACAGUAUACACUGUCUGUGUGUGUGUGUGUGUGUGUUAUUGCCUGUCUUCCCUCUGGACCGAAGGCUGCACGUGAUUCAGCUCUACAUGUCUGGUUUCCCUUCAGCCUCUAUCCAUUUCUCUUUCCAUCUGUUUCCGCCGCUCCUUCGCUCUUCAUCUCACUUUAAAUUGGUCUUUUAAUUCAUCUGCGUUUCUCUGAAUGUCUCUUCAUCCAUCUCAUUUAAUUGUGACUUCCUCUUCAUCGCUUUCUACGACUUUUUCUCCCUUAAAUGUCUAACCCUUUCUUGUUCUUCCUUUGCCUCCUUAUUCUAUAUGUCUCUCCUUCAUCGUCUUUUUGUAUGGUCUCCAUCUUCUACUGUCCUAAUCACCUUAUUUUCCUGGCUUGACUAGAACUUUAAAGUUAGUGGUAGUUAAUAAAAACACUGCGUCAUCAUCAUCUUUUCUCUAACUGAAAGCAAUUUUAAAUUUUUUUCUGCUGGUCAUUAUAUUCAGUUUUUUAAUCCCUUUAACAUUUCUCUCUCUCUCCUGUCUUCCUUCUGUCUAUUUUCUGUUUCAUUCACGUCUUCUGGAGACCUGCAGGCCUUUUACACAGACACAUACAUGCACAUACACUCUUCACAUAAUAUGUCUUUUUUUAUAAUGGCAUGUGUGUGACAGUUAAUGGCGUUGAUUUCUCACGGUCUAAAUAACAUUUUGAAUCUCUUUGCCCUGCGUGUGUACAUUCAUCACUGCGCCGUACAUGGUAGUAGAACUUAUAUAUAACCCUGUGUAUUAUCUCUAGGUCUAUCUUGAGGCAGUGAUAGUACAUUAGAGUACAGUACUAUGAACAACCGUACUCCCCAGAGACCCUGAAGGCGUCACGCUGCCUCAAAGUAAAUACAACACGAGUCAUUCUCAAUCUGCCUGACUGACUGACUGAUUUACACGCAUCCUUGCUUCUUCUUUCUGUCUUUUCUUUCAUCGGUUUCUUCUCUUUAAAAUUGUUUUCCCUCUACGCUUCAUUCCUUCCUUUCCUGUAUCCAUAUAUACCUCUUUCAUGUUGACCUUCUUCUGUUCUUUGACUUCCCUGCUGUAUGCCUAUGCUCCUUAAGACCCUUCCUUUCUUCCUUCUUUACAUACUGUACAUCUCCAUUUCUUCCCUACAUACUCAAUUUUCUUCCAUAAUCUCUAUGACAUACAUCAUGAAUGUUUUAUUUUCUUCUUCCCUUUCUAACUUUCUUUCCUUUUCUGUUGCUUCCUCUCUUCACAUUCAGAUUAAUUCCUAAUUCAUCUGUAAAGUAGUUUAUGUGAUACAUAUUUAAAGUUAUUUGAAAGUGUACUUUGAAUGUAAAUAAUGGACCGCCCCCCUACCAAAACCACAGAGCCCCCCCACAUAGCAAAUUCCAAUUCAACCCUUGCCUCUGAGCCUGCGUCUGGAUCGAUAAAGGGGAGGUGAGAGAGCAGUCGGCCUUUACGCUCGUUUCAUUGUGGCAUGAGCAGAAUCACUUUGGAGGGAAGAAAGAAAGCAUAACUGAAAAAGAUGUCUGUGUUUUGUGAUUCAACUUCUCUCUCAUCCUUUGCCUUUUUGCCCUUGCUUGGUCUACAGUCUUUAUCUUUAUUUUUAUAUCUCUCUUUCCUCCAUCUGAUUCUGCUUAUGCCAC
Molecule: long non-coding RNA, 1797 nt
Organism: Sebastes umbrosus (honeycomb rockfish)
Lineage: Eukaryota; Metazoa; Chordata; Actinopteri; Perciformes; Sebastidae
Exons: 3
Source: RefSeq, a predicted model, not a curated record